RNAcentral lists this ribosomal RNA (252 nucleotides) under uncultured bacterium. RNAcentral describes it as "partial 16S ribosomal RNA". It matches the Rfam family "Bacterial small subunit ribosomal RNA", at positions 524 to 776 of the family's 1533-position model. The record is from RNAcentral.
UACGGAGGAUGCGAGCGUUAUCCGGAUUUAUUGGGUUUAAAGGGUGCGUAGGCGGGAUGCCAAGCCAGCGGUAAAAAUGCGGUGCUCAACGCCGUCGAGCCGUUGAAACUGGCGUUCUUGAGUGGGCGAGAAGUAUGCGGAAUGCGUGGUGUAGCGGUGAAAUGCAUAGAUAUCACGCAGAACUCCGAUUGCGAAGGCAGCAUACCGGCGCCCUACUGACGCUGAGGCACGAAAGCGUGGGUAUCGAACAGG